Molecule: small RNA, 162 nt
Filed under: Crocodylus porosus (Australian saltwater crocodile)
Lineage: Eukaryota; Metazoa; Chordata; Crocodylia; Crocodylidae
Description: TUC338 (ENSCPRG00005017349.1)
Source: RNAcentral
CAGGCUGACAGAGAAUGAUGUUUUCAGUUUAGUCACAGGACACAGCACAGUCUGUCAUGGUACAAUCUCCACCGCUAAUGUGCUUUAACUCUGCAGUGGAAGAAUCGCUUCUAAAGGGCAGAGGGCAGUUCAGUCUCCAUGCCCAUUCAAUCCCUGCCUUCU